This 383-nucleotide ribosomal RNA is filed under the name uncultured bacterium. RNAcentral's name for it is "bacterial SSU rRNA". It matches the Rfam family "Bacterial small subunit ribosomal RNA", at positions 355 to 755 of the family's 1533-position model. The record is from RNAcentral.
UGGGGAAUAUUGCACAAUGGGCGAAAGCCUGAUGCAGCAACGCCGCGUGAGUGAUGAAGGCCUUCGGGUUGUAAAGCUCUGUCUUUUGGGACGAUAAUGACGGUACCAAAGGAGGAAGCCACGGCGAACUACGUGCCAGCAGCCGCGGUAAUACGUAGGUGGCGAGCGUUGUCCGGAUUUACUGGGAGUAAAGGAUGCGUAGGCGGAUAUUUAAGUGAGAUGUGAAAUACCCGAGCUUAACUUGGGUGCUGCAUUUCAAACUGGAUAUCUAGCGUGCGGGAGAGGAGAAUGGAACUCCUAGUGUAGCGGUAAAAUGCGUAGAGAUUAGGAAGAACACCAGUGGCGAAGGCGAUUCUCUGGACCGUAACUGACGCUGAGGCAUG